RNAcentral lists this ribosomal RNA (439 nucleotides) under uncultured bacterium. Its description in RNAcentral is "partial 16S ribosomal RNA". It matches the Rfam family "Bacterial small subunit ribosomal RNA", at positions 339 to 795 of the family's 1533-position model. The record is from RNAcentral.
CUACGGGAUGCAGCAGUGGGGAAUAUUGCACAAUAGAGGAAACUCUGAUGCAGCAACGCCGCGUGGAGGAUGACACUUUUCGGAGCGUAAACUCCUUUUAUAUAGGAAGAAGAUGACGGUACUAUAUGAAUAAGCGCCGGCUAACUCCGUGCCAGCAGCCGCGGUACUACGGAGGGCGCAAGCGUUACUCGGAAUCACUGGGCGUAAAGAGCGUGUAGGCGGAUUAAAAAGUCAGAAGUGAAAUCCUAUAGCUUAACUAUAGAACUGCUUCUGAAACUCUUAAUCUAGAAUAUGGGAGAGGUAGAUGGAAUUUCUGGUGUAGGGGUAAAAUCCGUAGAGAUCAGAAGGAAUACCGAUUGCGAAGGCGAUCUACUAGAACAUUAUUGACGCUGAGACGCGAAAGCGUGGGGAGCAAACAGGAUUAGAUACCCGCGUAGUC